CCUACGGGCGGCAGCAGUGGGGAAUAUUGGGCAAUGGAGGCAACUCUGACCCAGCAACGCCGCGUGAAUGAUGAAGGUCUUCGGAUUGUAAAGUUCUGUGAUGGGGGAUGAACACAAUGACGGUACCCCAAUAGUAAGCCACGGCUAACUACGUGCCAGCAGCCGCGGCAAUACGUAGGUGGCAAUCGUUAUCCGGAAUGACUGGGCGUAAAGGGUGCGUAGGUGGGUUAGUAAGUUGGCGGUGAAAUUCCGGGGCUCAACCUCUGCGCUACCGCCAAAACUAGUAGACUUGAGUGCAGGAGGGGUAAGUGGAAUUCGUAGUGUAGCGGUGGAAUGCGUAGAUAUUAGGAGGAACAUCGAGGGCGAAGGCGACUUACUGGACUGUAACUGACACUGAGGCACGAAAGCGUGGGGAGCAAACAGGAUUAGAUACCCUGGUAGUC
RNAcentral lists this ribosomal RNA (443 nucleotides) under uncultured bacterium. Its description in RNAcentral is "partial 16S ribosomal RNA". It matches the Rfam family "Bacterial small subunit ribosomal RNA", at positions 338 to 795 of the family's 1533-position model. The record is from RNAcentral.